AACGACUCUCGGCAACGGAUAUCUCGGCUCUCGCAUCGAUGAAGAACGUAGCGAAAUGCGAUACUUGGUGUGAAUUGCAGAAUCCCGUGAACCAUCGAGUCUUUGAACGCAAGUUGCGCCCGAAGCCCUUAGGUUGAGGGCACGUCUGCCUGGGCGUCACGCA
This 163-nucleotide ribosomal RNA is filed under the name Heptapleurum triste. RNAcentral describes it as "Schefflera tristis 5.8S ribosomal RNA". It matches the Rfam family "5.8S ribosomal RNA". Rfam says of the family: 5.8S ribosomal RNA (5.8S rRNA) is a component of the large subunit of the eukaryotic ribosome. The record is from RNAcentral. Lineage: Eukaryota; Viridiplantae; Streptophyta; Magnoliopsida; Apiales; Araliaceae.